RNAcentral lists this ribosomal RNA (411 nucleotides) under Staphylococcus aureus. RNAcentral's name for it is "bacterial SSU rRNA". It matches the Rfam family "Bacterial small subunit ribosomal RNA", at positions 1 to 401 of the family's 1533-position model. The record is from RNAcentral. Lineage: Bacteria; Bacillati; Bacillota; Bacilli; Caryophanales; Staphylococcaceae.
UUUAUGGAGAGUUUGAUCCUGGCUCAGGAUGAACGCUGGCGGCGUGCCUAAUACAUGCAAGUCGAGCGAACGGACGAGAAGCUUGCUUCUCUGAUGUUAGCGGCGGACGGGUGAGUAACACGUGGAUAACCUACCUAUAAGACUGGGAUAACUUCGGGAAACCGGAGCUAAUACCGGAUAAUAUUUUGAACCGCAUGGUUCAAAAGUGAAAGACGGUCUUGCUGUCACUUAUAGAUGGAUCCGCGCUGCAUUAGCUAGUUGGUAAGGUAACGGCUUACCAAGGCAACGAUGCAUAGCCGACCUGAGAGGGUGAUCGGCCACACUGGAACUGAGACACGGUCCAGACUCCUACGGGAGGCAGCAGUAGGGAAUCUUCCGCAAUGGGCGAAAGCCUGACGGAGCAACGCCGCG